Molecule: non-coding RNA, 24 nt
Filed under: Arabidopsis thaliana (thale cress)
Lineage: Eukaryota; Viridiplantae; Streptophyta; Magnoliopsida; Brassicales; Brassicaceae
Source: RNAcentral
AUUCAUGGUUUAAAUGGUGGUCAA